Molecule: ribosomal RNA, 372 nt
Filed under: uncultured bacterium
Lineage: Bacteria
Description: bacterial SSU rRNA
Rfam family: Bacterial small subunit ribosomal RNA
Source: RNAcentral
GCCCUUCCAGACUCCUACGGGAGGCAGCAGUGGGGAAUCUUCCGCAAUGGACGAAAGUCUGACGGAGCAACGCCGCGUGAGUGAUGACGGCCUUCGGGUUGUAAAGCUCUGUUAAUCGGGACGAAAGGCCUUCUUGCGAAUAGCGAGAAGGAUUGACGGUACCGGAAUAGAAAGCCACGGCUAACUACGUGCCAGCAGCCGCGGUAAUACGUAGGUGGCAAGCGUUGUCCGGAAUUAUUGGGCGUAAAGCGCGCGCAGGCGGAUAGGUCAGUCUGUCUUAAAAGUUCGGGGCUUAACCCCGUGAUGGGAUGGAAACUGCCAAUCUAGAGUAUCGGAGAGGAAAGUGGAAUUCCUAGUGUAGCGGUGAAAUGC